AUGAAUUUCCCCAACCUCAAGAAGCUCACCCUGUUUGACACUUCCAUCUCAGAGGACGUUUUCCACACACUGCCAUCUGGCUGCCAUGCCUUGGAGAGCUUAUACAUGGCCGAAGUUUGCGCUGCUGGUCGCCUCCGUGUUAGCUCGCCGACUCUCAAGACCAUUAUCUUCAGUCAUAGCUCUAGUGAAAUAGCAGAACUGAUAUUGGGCCCUUUCAUAGCCGCCGCCUCCAAUAUCCUACUCUUUCAGGGAAUAAGCUCGGUCAGCUCGGCAAACUCGAUGCGCACCGUCAAGGUUUUGGCUCUCAGCUCUUCUGCAGAUAAGUUGCAUGCAGUUCUUAACAUCCUCAGGUGGUUCCCCUGUCUGGAGAGGCCCCAUCUCACUUUUCGUAAACACCAUGAUAGGGAUCAGAAAAAUGAACCUCAGCAUGACCCACUACAUCCAAUCGAAUGCCUUGAGCCCAUCUAA
This 468-nucleotide ribosomal RNA is filed under the name Triticum aestivum (bread wheat). RNAcentral's name for it is "partial small subunit ribosomal RNA". The record is from RNAcentral. Lineage: Eukaryota; Viridiplantae; Streptophyta; Magnoliopsida; Poales; Poaceae.